RNAcentral lists this ribosomal RNA (253 nucleotides) under uncultured bacterium. Its description in RNAcentral is "partial 16S ribosomal RNA". It matches the Rfam family "Bacterial small subunit ribosomal RNA", at positions 524 to 776 of the family's 1533-position model. The record is from RNAcentral.
UACGUAGGGCGCAAGCGUUGUCCGGAAUUGUUGGGCGUAAAGAGCUCGUAGGCGGCUUGUCGCGUCGGAUGUGAAAGCUCGGGGCUUAACCCCGGGUCUGCAUUCGAUACGGGCAGGCUAGAGUGUGGUAGGGGAGAUCGGAAUUCCUGGUGUAGCGGUGAAAUGCGCAGAUAUCAGGAGGAACACCGGUGGCGAAGGCGGAUCUCUGGGCCAUUACUGACGCUGAGGAGCGAAAGCGUGGGGAGCGAACAGG